GAAUAUUGGACAAUGGGGGGAACCCUGAUCCAGCCAUGCCGCGUGUGUGAAGAAGGCCUUAUGGUUGUAAAGCACUUUAAGCGAGGAGGAGGCUACUGAGACUAAUACUCUUGGAUAGUGGACGUUACUCGCCGAAUAAGCCCCGGCUACCUCUGUGCCAGCAGCCGCGGUAAUACAGAGGGUGCGAGCGUUAAUCGGAUUUACUGGGCGUAAAGCGUGCGUAGGCGGCUUUUUAAGUCGGAUGUGAAAUCCCCGAGCUUAACUUGGGAAUUGCAUUCGAUACUGGGAAGCUAGAGUAUGGGAGAGGAUGGUAGAAUUCCAGGUGUAGCGGUGAAAUGCGUAGAGAUCUGGAGGAAUACCGAUGGCGAAGGCAGCCAUCUGGCCUAAUACUGACGCUGAGGUACGAAAGCAUGGGGAGCAAACAGG
RNAcentral lists this ribosomal RNA (426 nucleotides) under uncultured bacterium. RNAcentral's name for it is "bacterial SSU rRNA". It matches the Rfam family "Bacterial small subunit ribosomal RNA", at positions 359 to 776 of the family's 1533-position model. The record is from RNAcentral.